UAAAGCAUCCGUAGCCGGUUCCGUAGGUCCUCUGUUAAAUCCACCCGCUCAACGGGUGACCUGCAGAGGAUACCGCGGGACUAGGAGGCGGGAGAGGCGGACGGUACUCCGCGUGUAGGGGUAAAAUCCUUUGAUCCGCGGAAGACCACCAGUGGCGAAGGCGGUCCGCCAGAACGCGCUCGACGGUGAGGGAUGAAAGCUGGGGGAGCGAACCGGAUUAGAUACCCGGGUAGUCCCAGCCGUAAACGAUGCUAGCUAGAUGAUUCAUUCGCAAGUCGCGAAUGAAGUGUCGCAGGGAAG
This 300-nucleotide ribosomal RNA is filed under the name uncultured archaeon. RNAcentral's name for it is "bacterial SSU rRNA". It matches the Rfam family "Archaeal small subunit ribosomal RNA", at positions 511 to 811 of the family's 1478-position model. The record is from RNAcentral.